GGGGCGUUAGCGCAGUGGCAGCGCAUUGGUCUUCGAAUCCAAGGGUCACAGGUUCAAUCCCUGUACGUCUCG
RNAcentral lists this transfer RNA (72 nucleotides) under Chytriomyces sp. MP71. RNAcentral describes it as "tRNA-Arg". It matches the Rfam family "tRNA". Rfam says of the family: Transfer RNA (tRNA) molecules are approximately 80 nucleotides in length. Their secondary structure includes four short double-helical elements and three loops (D, anti-codon, and T loops). Further hydrogen bonds mediate the characteristic L-shaped molecular structure. tRNAs have two regions of fundamental functional importance: the anti-codon, which is responsible for specific mRNA codon recognition, and the 3' end, to which the tRNAs corresponding amino acid is attached (by aminoacyl-tRNA synthetases). tRNAs cope with the degeneracy of the genetic code in two manners: having more than one tRNA (with a specific anti-codon) for a particular amino acid; and 'wobble' base-pairing, i.e. permitting non-standard base-pairing at the 3rd anti-codon position. The record is from RNAcentral. Lineage: Eukaryota; Fungi; Chytridiomycota; Chytridiomycetes; Chytridiales; Chytriomycetaceae.